Perca flavescens (yellow perch) is the source of this 1375-nucleotide long non-coding RNA. RefSeq lists it as uncharacterized. NCBI's taxonomy places the organism in Eukaryota, Metazoa, Chordata, Actinopteri, Perciformes, Percidae. The record is from RefSeq and is a predicted model, not a curated record. The transcript has 3 exons.
UUUUUUUCUCGUAUCCUUUUAUCUUUGCAUCAGAUACUGCUGUGAGGAACCCACAGGGAGGGAAAGGAAAAAUAGCGGACAACAUUUCCCUCACCCUUGGAGCUGUGAGCCAGAAUGGAGUCGACUGUGGGACUCGCCGGGAUUGAAUAUAUGCUCAUGCCGGUGUGUGUGAGUGUGUGAGCUGAUAUUAGCAGCCCCAUUGGUAUUCAGUGGAGGGAGCUCCAGGAUCUCGCUGCGCCUUUCCCCAGGAUGGGAUCACAGAGCGGGGAUUGUGCUCGCCUGUGGAGAGCCUGCUGAAAUGGAUCUGAAGCCUUGCAGAGAUGGACACCAAAUGGGCAGCAUGGAAGCCAACAUCCACCCUCCAGCGACUAGCUUUCCACACCUAACCGCUUCCACCAUCUCCAGCCAUCAGCUCGAACCAUCCCAGCAAAGACCCCACAUGCAGAGUUGAGGACGGACAAGCUAGACUGAGAUACCUGAAGCUGUCUACAGGAAGUAGAGAAAAGCAGAGGGUGACAUGCCUCAGAGGAGUUAACUAACAGCAAACCAAUCAACCUGUUGAGCAUACGAUUGACUUCAUCUGAAAUGAAAUAGGCUGCAGUGAUGCUUGAGCAAUGGUAUGGAGCUAUUGGACAUGUCUGGAUUUAUCGCCCGGAUAUCCUAUCAAGAUUACGACACUUUCCUGCACACCUCAGAGCUGGGCUACUUUUCCAGAUUGGCUUGUGGGCAAAAGCGAGUAAUUGAAAAUCCCCCCUCGAGAGGUUCUGAUUUGUUGUGGGGUAGGAAGGCUUUUUUUUGAAGGAACAAUUAUUUUAAAAAAACAACAACAACCUCCCUUUAUCCCACAUUUUUCCCUUUUUUGCCAUCUUUCUCACUCAUUGCAGAGAAAUACAUUAUGAAGCAGCACCAUUCUUCUUCAUUCUCCCUCAGUGACGGAGAGAUAGGAGGGCCAGACUGUCCAGAAUAGAUAACAAGCAAGGAGACUGGCACUGAGGAGAGGAGAAGGGGGGAAAUAGCAGGAAAUAGAAAGAAACAGGUAGAGAGAGAAAGAAGAAGAGGAAGCAAGAAAAGAAAAAUUGAGAAUUAACUAGGAUUGUUCGAAAGUCUUAGAGUCUCUUUCUAAUUCGCCUGUGCCGUAUUGGAGGCUAGUUAGCACAAUGUGCAGGGUAGAGGUCAGGAUUCACACCAGGGGGGGCACUUGAGCAGGAGAGGAGGGUUAUGUGCCCCCUGCACCUGCCUGGUCUGUAUCUUAGUGUUUGGCAGGAAGACAGACUGAAAGAUGGCCCGGUUAACAGACAGCUAUACUGACAGACGAGCUCUGAGGCUGGUAAGAUAGACAGACAGACAGACAGACAGACAGACAGACAGACAGACA